This 468-nucleotide ribosomal RNA is filed under the name uncultured bacterium. RNAcentral describes it as "partial 16S ribosomal RNA". It matches the Rfam family "Bacterial small subunit ribosomal RNA", at positions 28 to 507 of the family's 1533-position model. The record is from RNAcentral.
GACGAACGCUGGCGGCGUGCUUAACACAUGCAAGUCGAACGGAAAGGCCCUGCUUUUGUGGGGUGCUCGAGUGGCGAACGGGUGAGUAACACGUGAGUAACCUGCCCUUGACUUUGGGAUAACUUCAGGAAACUGGGGCUAAUACCGGAUAGGAGCUCCUGCUGCAUGGUGGGGGUUGGAAAGUUUCGGCGGUUGGGGAUGGACUCGCGGCUUAUCAGCUUGUUGGUGGGGUAGUGGCUUACCAAGGCUUUGACGGGUAGCCGGCCUGAGAGGGUGACCGGCCACAUUGGGACUGAGAUACGGCCCAGACUCCUACGGGAGGCAGCAGUGGGGAAUAUUGCACAAUGGGCGGAAGCCUGAUACAGCAACGCCGCGUGCGGGAUGAAGGCCUUCGGGUUGUAAACCGCUUUCGCCUGUGACGAAGCGUGAGUGACGGUAAUGGGUAAAGAAGCACCGGCUAACUACGUG